RNAcentral lists this ribosomal RNA (177 nucleotides) under Balanion planctonicum. RNAcentral describes it as "partial small subunit ribosomal RNA". It matches the Rfam family "Eukaryotic small subunit ribosomal RNA", at positions 392 to 568 of the family's 1831-position model. The record is from RNAcentral. Lineage: Eukaryota; Ciliophora; Prostomatea; Prorodontida; Balanionidae.
GAGCCUGAGAAACGGCUACCACUUCUAAGGAAGGCAGCAGGCGCGUAAAUUACCCAAUCCUGACACAGGGAGGUAGUGACAAGAAAUAACAACUCGGGGACUUCACGUCUUACGAGAUUGCAAUGAGAACAAUUUAAAAUACUUAACGAGGAUCAAUUGGAGGGCAAGUCUGGUGCC